RNAcentral lists this ribosomal RNA (403 nucleotides) under Synalpheus triunguiculatus. RNAcentral's name for it is "partial 16S ribosomal RNA". It matches the Rfam family "Bacterial large subunit ribosomal RNA", at positions 1950 to 2564 of the family's 2925-position model. The record is from RNAcentral. Lineage: Eukaryota; Metazoa; Arthropoda; Malacostraca; Decapoda; Alpheidae.
GCAAAGGUAGCAUAAUCAAUAGUCUUUUAAUUGGAGGCUUGAAUGAACGGUUUGACGGAAAAGGAGCUGUCUCCUUAGUUUGAAUUGAAGUUAACUUUUGUGUGAAAAGGCAUUAAUGGAUUAGGGGGACGAUAAGACCCUAUAAAGCUUAAUACAUGUUAUGCUAUUUAUUAAAACUGGUUAAUAAUUAUAAAAUGGCUUAGUGUAUUUUGCUGGGGCGGCAUGAAUAUAAUUUGUAACUGUUUGUGAGUUGUAAUACGUUUAAGUAGAUUUUGGUCCUUUAUUAGGGAGAGAGAUUAAGCUACUUUAGGGAUAACAGCAUAAUUUUCCUUGAGAGUCCAUAUCGAAGGGAGUAGUUGUGACCUCGAUGUUGAAUUAAAUUUUCUUUUAGGUGCAGUAGUUG